Ictidomys tridecemlineatus (thirteen-lined ground squirrel) is the source of this 550-nucleotide non-coding RNA. The record is from RefSeq and is a predicted model, not a curated record. NCBI's taxonomy places the organism in Eukaryota, Metazoa, Chordata, Mammalia, Rodentia, Sciuridae.
AUGCUUCUCUGUCAUGGCCCACAUAGCACCUGAGAUGGGUGUGUCCUGCCAAAAUGUCAAUCAACCUGCUGACUGCAAGACAUCAGGAAGCAAGACUCUGCCCUUGAAACCUUACCCCUGCCUUUGAUGUACCUCCUUAAAUAAACCACUGGAGCCAUCUUUCCUUUGUCUGGAUCCAGCACCCAUGUGGACAAAGAUAUAUCAGGGGCUCUGCUUUAUCAGGAAGAAGAAUCCCCCAAUGAGAUGCUGGCCCUUGCUCCCGUUGCUGGUGAACCCUGGUGGACGCAGCCUUGUUCUGUCCCAGCUAUCUCUGAAGAAUAGGAUCUUUCAUUGGAAAUUGUGUUUAUGAAACAACCACAGUAUGUUCUGGUGUAACCAGCUGAGUACAAUCCCAGAUCCUCUCUACAAAUACAGUUUGGAAUCCACAUCACAAGUCAUUCACUGUAAAACAGAUAACACUUUCCCAUAGAAACAAUAUACUGUUUGUGGCUUUCAUUCCUAACCAGAAUCUGCCUCAUAUGAAUUAUAGAUAUGAUCAACUAUGUCUUGA